Molecule: ribosomal RNA, 554 nt
Filed under: uncultured bacterium
Lineage: Bacteria
Description: partial 16S ribosomal RNA
Rfam family: Bacterial small subunit ribosomal RNA
Source: RNAcentral
GUGGAAGGAUCUUCCACAAUGGACGCAAGUCUGAUGGAGCAACGCCGCGUGAGUGAAGAAGGUUUUCGGACCGUAAAGCUCUGUUGUUGGUGAAGAAGGAUAGAGGUAGUAACUGGCCUUUAUUUGACGGUAAUCAACCAGAAAGUCACGGCUAACUACGUGCCAGCAGCCGCGGUAAUACGUAGGUGGCAAGCGUUGUCCGGAUUUAUUGGGCGUAAAGCGAGCGCAGGCGGAAGAAUAAGUCUGAUGUGAAAGCCCUCGGCUUAACCGAGGAAUUGCAUCGGAAACUGUUUUCUUGAGUGCAGAAGAGGAGAGUAGAACUCCAUGUGUAGCGGUGGAAUGCGUAGAUAUAUGGAAGAAUACCAGUGGCGAAGGCGGCUCUCUGGUCUGCAACUGACGCUGAGGCUCGAAAGCAUGGGUAGCGAACAGGAUUAGAUACCCUGGUAGUCCAUGCCGUAAACGAUGAGUGCUAAGUGUUGGGAGGCUUCCGCCUCUCAGUGCUGCAGCUAACGCAUUAAGCACUCCGCCUGGGGGAGUACGACCGCAAGGUUGAA